UGUGUCGACGGACAGACACGCCCUUCAAGGAAGAGGGGAAUGGACAUCGCAGGAUGCGAUUCAUCAGGACGAUGAAAGGGAACACAGGGAAUAGGGAAAAAUGUGGGCGGGUCAAACCGCCCCUUUUUUU
This 130-nucleotide small RNA is filed under the name Pseudomonas jessenii. Lineage: Bacteria; Pseudomonadati; Pseudomonadota; Gammaproteobacteria; Pseudomonadales; Pseudomonadaceae. The record is from RNAcentral.